AUACGGAGGAUCCGAGCGUUAUCCGGAUUUAUUGGGUUUAAAGGGAGCGUAGAUGGAUGUUUAAGUCAGUUGUGAAAGUUUGCGGCUCAACCGUAAAAUUGCAGUUGAUACUGGAUAUCUUGAGUGCAGUUGAGGCAGGCGGAAUUUGGGGUGUAGCGGGGAAAUGCUUAGAUAUCACGAAGAACUCCGAUUGCGAAGGCAGCCUGCUAAGCUGCAACUGACAUUGAGGCUCGAAAGUGUGGGUAUCAAACAGGAUUAGAUACCCUGGUAGUCCACACGGUAAACGAUGAAUACUCGCUGUUUGCGAUAUACGGCAAGCGGCCAAGCGAAAGCGUUAAGUAUUCCACCUGGGGAGUACGCCGGCAACGGUGAAACUCAAAUGAAUUGACGGGG
RNAcentral lists this ribosomal RNA (393 nucleotides) under uncultured bacterium. RNAcentral's name for it is "partial 16S ribosomal RNA". It matches the Rfam family "Bacterial small subunit ribosomal RNA", at positions 523 to 918 of the family's 1533-position model. The record is from RNAcentral.